Molecule: long non-coding RNA, 740 nt
Organism: Saccostrea cuccullata (small rock oyster)
Lineage: Eukaryota; Metazoa; Mollusca; Bivalvia; Ostreida; Ostreidae
Exons: 6
Source: RefSeq, a predicted model, not a curated record
UCUUUGUAAUAUUAGUCGUUCAAAUUUUUAUCUUAAAAAUGCAUCUCCACUUCAAAGACGAACGCAGAUGACUAAGUGAUAUAAAUUUACUUUAUGGAACCAAAGCUAGUUCUUUUAUGGAAUGCCGUACGUCACAAAUUACGUCAUCAUGCGACUUAGAAAGCAGAAAGAAAGAAAGAGCAAAAUGUUUUCAACUCCAUAUUUUCUGUAUAAUUUGCUGGUUAUAAGCAGAUCUAUGCACGGCACUCCAUUAUACCACACUGAUAGCUUCUCAAAGAUUAUAAAUAUGAUACAUGUAAGCAGGCACAGUUACUUGUCAUCACAAGGAUCAGAUUUCAAGUACCAGAGUAGUCCUAACUCCUAAAUUUUCCCAAUUUGUCAAAAGUACAUCUAGUGACACAAGAGAAGAAUGUGGAGUAAAUACCAAUAAAGGCUCGACUGCAGGGGUAUACCUGACUUCUCGGCAAUUUCUGGUUAUCACCAUCCGAAUGACCGAUUCAGAGGAGAAGACCAACUUCAAGGUGACUCUUAUGCAUUGAGAUCUUUCGCUGAUGGACUCAAAUUGUUCAGGAAAAAAUCCAGCUACCACAGCCACAGAUUUCUGGCGUGUGUUCAGAAGGAACAUAGAUGCAAUGAUGAAACAAUCUCCAGACAGAUGGGUGGCCCUUGAGCAGAGAAUGUUAAAAAGAAUUGAAGCAUUCAAUAAAGAAAAUUAAGAAACAGAAUGACGUGUCCAGUUG